Molecule: small nucleolar RNA, 129 nt
Organism: Mastomys coucha (southern multimammate mouse)
Lineage: Eukaryota; Metazoa; Chordata; Mammalia; Rodentia; Muridae
Product: small nucleolar RNA SNORA17
Exons: 1
Source: RefSeq, a predicted model, not a curated record
GCCCCCUAGAGGCAUUGCAGGUUUAGCAACAGUGUUCCAGGUGAAUUAGCAGGUGGCAGAGAGGAGACAGGUUAUGUAAUGCUCAGUAUCCUGACGUAUGAACCUCUGAAUGAUUAGUAGCCUAAUAUC